Molecule: ribosomal RNA, 1323 nt
Filed under: metagenome
Description: bacterial LSU rRNA
Rfam family: Bacterial large subunit ribosomal RNA
Source: RNAcentral
AGUGGAUGGGGAGCAACCUAGUUGUGCGUGUGUAAAGGUAGUGCCAAGAAAAGCGAUGAUCAUGUUGAAAAUCAAUUCCCGGUACCCGAAACCGACACAGGUGGGCAAGUAGAGAAUACUAAGGGGCGCGAGGUAACUCUCUCCAAGGAACUCGGCAAAAUGACCCCGUAACUUAGGGAGAAGGGGUGCCACCGAGAGGUGGUCGCAGUGAAGAGGCCCAGGCGACUGUUUAGCAAAAACAUAGGUCUCUGCAAACUCGAAAGAGGAGGUAUAGGGGCUGACGCCUGCCCAGUGCCGGAAGGUUAAAGAAGUUGGUCAGUCUUAGGAUGAAGCUAGCGACUGAAGCCCCGGUGAACGGCGGCCGUAACUAUAACGGUCCUAAGGUAGCGAAAUUCCUUGUCGGGUAAGUUCCGACCCGCACGAAAGGCGUAACGAUCUGGGCGCUGUCUCGGAGAGAGGCUCGGCGAAAUAGGAUUGUCUGUGAAGAUACGGACUACCUGCAUUUGGACAGAAAGACCCUAUGAAGCUUUACUAUAGCUUGGAAUUGUGUUCGGGCUUCCUGUGCGCAGGAUAGGUGGGAGGCGUAGAAGGUAUUCUUGUGGGGAUACUGGAGCCAACGGUGAGAUACCACUCUCAGGAGGCUAGAAUUCUAACUUAAUUAAGGACAGUUUCAGGUGGGUAGUUUGACUGGGGCGGUCGCCUCCAAAAAGGUAACGGAGGCGUACAAAGGUUCCCUCAGACUGGUUGGAAAUCAGUCGAAGAGUGCAAAGGCAGAAGGGAGCUUGACUGCGAGAAGUACAGUUCGAGCAGGGUGGAAACACGGUCUUAGUGAUCCGACGGUGCUGUGUGGAAGGGCCGUCGCUCAACGGAUAAAAGUUACUCUAGGAUAACAGGCUGAUCUCCCCCAAGAGUUCACAUCGACGGGGAGGUUUGGCACCUCGAUGUCGGCUCAUCGCAACCUGGGGCGGAAGUACGUCCCAAGGGUUGGGCUGUUCGCCCAUUAAAGCGGUACGUGAGCUGGGUUCAGAACGUCGUGAGACAGUUCGGUCCAUAUCCGAUGUAGGCGUGAGAAUAUUGAGAGGAGCCUUCCUUAGUACGAGAGGACCGGGAAGGACGCACCGCUGGUGUACCUGUUAUGAUGCCAAUUGUAAACGCAGGGUAGCCAAGUGCGGAGAGGAUAACCGCUGAAAGCAUCUAAGUGGGAAGCCCACCUCAAGAUGAGUAUUCUGGUGUAAGGUCACGGGAAGACGACCCGUAAAUAGGCACGAGGUGGAAGUGCAGAGAUGUAUGAAGCCGAAGUGUACUAAUAGACCGUCGGCUUGA